Long non-coding RNA from Camponotus floridanus (Florida carpenter ant), 181 nucleotides. RefSeq lists it as uncharacterized. The transcript has 3 exons. Lineage: Eukaryota; Metazoa; Arthropoda; Insecta; Hymenoptera; Formicidae. The record is from RefSeq and is a predicted model, not a curated record.
AAAGUAUCGCGCGCCAACAAUAUGAGAGGAGGAGGAGGAGGCCUGGGAGAGGCAUCAGGCACCUGAAGCAACUCUAUGAUGAACGUAUCUACUUUGAUAACCUGCGAGGAGGAAGAGGCCUAGGAAAGGCAUCCUGCACCAGCGGAACAACCUGAUGACAACGUAGCAUCAAUAACAACUC